CUCUCUCUCUCUCUCACACACACACACACACACACACCUCCUAGGCUCUGGAGCAUUAAUUAGGCAGCCUACGAGUCUGCCACACCAUGGUAUACCUCCAUCGCACACUGGAAAACAGGCGAAGAGGACGAAAAGACACACAUGCUGCAGAAUCCAGAGGAACUGGGAGGUGCAGCCGGACCCAAUAACAUAGACAAGAAGAAAAGAAAAGAUUCCAGUCGCUUUUUGCCUCUGAACAUCAGCUCCUCCUCGCCUUCAAGUGGCUUGGCCACCGCUUUCAUCAGUAAUCCCUUGUCUCCGCUCUCGUCUCCGGGCCCGUUGUUGCUGACACCACACUGGCACCCAGAGGCCGCGAAGCUGCUCCUCUCUGGGAUUGAAGAGGGCUGAAGGUCUCCUUACUUGGGUACAUAACAAUGUCUCCACCUCCUCUGCUGCUCGUGGCCUGCGGCUCCUUCCUACUUCUCCUCCUUCUCCUCUGCAUUCAAUCAAUCGACUGACGCCGCUGACCAGCUCCCACAGCGCGCUGCCGGGGGAGGGAAGUUAUUGGAGUCGUGUGGUUGUGAGCAUCAGAUACCUCCAGUGGGUUAGGCCAUUCCAUAAUGUUUGAAAUAUCUGGAAAUAAUCAACCAAAAUCUAAAAAGUAAAAUAGCUGAUCCACCGGACUCUCCACAGUGGCAUGCUCUGUGUUUAACAUGUGUGUUGUUUCCCAAAUACUGAUUUUUUAAGAUUUAGCUGACAUUCAUUAAACAAAUGUAAACAACCGGCUGGUUAACUAUAUAUUUAUCACUGGUACAUCUCACGAGAUAGGGAUUUUAUAAUCUUAUACGUAUAACCUUGUAUUAAAUUACCUUUGAACUAAUAUCAUUUAAAGAAUUACAUAAUUAAUAAUUCAAAACAUAAUUACAUCGUUUUACAUAAAGGCGAUCUCCACAAUAGUGGAAGCUGCAAGACCAUAAAUUAGGUUGUAAAUCAUUUGCGGUUAAAUGAAUCUGCAGAACACACUUAUGUCCAGGAAUAUGAUUUAAAGUGAAAGCAUCGCAAAUGCUUCCAAAAUAUUUCAGGACAAACACUUGGAGUGAAAAAGAAUAUUUUAAAAAUACAAUUACAUCCUCCCAAACAGACCAUUUAUCCAUCCACAGCAAAUGUACUGAAAUCGAUGGCUCAACUGAUAUAUCAUGAGUAAGCAUUAUCAAUCCAUAAAUACAGCCCGAAAUAACCUCAUAAGUAGUCAACAGCCAUUUACAAUUCACCCUGAAAGGUGAAAAAACAUUAUCUUCAGGAAGUACCAUCCUGGAAUCAAUACUACAAUGUCAGAAUAAAACAUUACAAGAAAAGCCUUGUAUUUCAACUAUAGCAGUAUUACCUGCAGUGGCGGCAGGCCAAUAGAGUGAAAUCGGGAGUCACCCCACCUGGAGCCCAAUCGAAGAAGAAGAAAAAAAAAAGGAUUAAAUCAUAAAACUUGUAACUUGAAAUAUGGAAUGUAACCAGGAAUAUUUGUAAAAUAUACGUCCUUUCUUCAUGCGCAGUUCAAGAUUGCCCUUAGAAGGCGGGUCUAAGAAGCAAUUUAGCCAAUUGCUGGUUAAAUAAAAUGAUGUGUAACAUUACAUUUAGCCACUCAGCGUCCUUAAAUAGUCUCAGCCUGGGGCAACAUUGGCUUUGCCACAAGCGUUCACAUUCUCGUCGAGGCUGGUAUCGACAGGCAGAUGAGAUUCUGGAGGAAUUAAAUAGCACAGAUUUUAUCUUUCAUAUUUACAUUAUACUGAAUUGAAUGUGAGGGUGACAAAAAAAGAUUGUGGAAGUAUUAUUUCCGGCUUGUCUUCAUUUUCGAAUGAAUCUAAAAAAUUGAACCGCAAAGUAAUAAUGUGUUAUUGAUACCUAAAUUGUUUUGCAUUAAAUCCACCUGGGAUGUUUGCUCAAAUUGUUUCGAUUGCCCUACCUACAAUAUUUUCCACUAGCCGCCACUGAUUACCUGAAAAAUAAACUCAUUUUAAGUA
Gasterosteus aculeatus aculeatus (three-spined stickleback) is the source of this 1994-nucleotide long non-coding RNA. RefSeq lists it as uncharacterized. Lineage: Eukaryota; Metazoa; Chordata; Actinopteri; Perciformes; Gasterosteidae. The record is from RefSeq and is a predicted model, not a curated record.